UCUUGGUCAUUUAGAGGAAGUAAAAGUCGUAACAAGGUCUCCGUUGGUGAACCAGCGGAGGGAUCAUUACUGAGUUUACGCUCUACAACCCUUUGUGAACAUACCUAUAACUGUUGCUUCGGCGGGUAGGGUCUCCGCGACCCUCCCGGCCUCCCGCCUCCGGGCGGGUCGGCGCCCGCCGGAGGAUAACCAAACUCUGAUUUAACGACGUUUCUUCUGAGUGGUACAAGCAAAUAAUCAAAACUUUUAACAACGGAUCUCUUGGUUCUGGCAUCGAUGAAGAACGCAGCGAAAUGCGAUAAGUAAUGUGAAUUGCAGAAUUCAGUGAAUCAUCGAAUCUUUGAACGCACAUUGCGCCCGCCAGCAUUCUGGCGGGCAUGCCUGUUCGAGCGUCAUUUCAACCCUCAAGCUCUGCUUGGUGUUGGGGCCCUACAGCCGAUGUAGGCCCUCAAAGGUAGUGGCGGACCCUCCCGGAGCCUCCUUUGCGUAGUAACUUUACGUCUCGCACUGGGAUCCGGAGGGACUCUUGCCGUAAAACCCCCCAAUUUUCCAAAGGUUGACCUCGGAUCAGGUAGGAAUACCCGCUGAACUUAAGCAUAUCAAUAAGCGGAGG
This 613-nucleotide ribosomal RNA is filed under the name Colletotrichum gloeosporioides. Its description in RNAcentral is "eukaryotic LSU rRNA". The stretch from base 242 to 395 matches the Rfam family "5.8S ribosomal RNA". Lineage: Eukaryota; Fungi; Ascomycota; Sordariomycetes; Glomerellales; Glomerellaceae. The record is from RNAcentral.